Molecule: non-coding RNA, 72 nt
Organism: Thermoplasmatales archaeon SG8-52-1
Lineage: Archaea; Methanobacteriati; Thermoplasmatota; Thermoplasmata; Thermoplasmatales
Source: Rfam
AGCCCUGUAGUGUAGCGGUUAACAUAAGAGACUCUGGAUCUCUAGUCCCCAGUUCGAAUCUGGGCAGGGCUG